RNAcentral lists this long non-coding RNA (205 nucleotides) under Vigna radiata. RNAcentral describes it as "long non-coding RNA (VRAD_LNC009669)". The record is from RNAcentral. Lineage: Eukaryota; Viridiplantae; Streptophyta; Magnoliopsida; Fabales; Fabaceae.
GGGUAGCGGAUAUCUGCGGGUACGGAUAAUAUAAUACCCGCACCUGACCCAUUUAUAAACGGGUAUUAAAAUACCCGCUAAUUGUGGGUUUCGGGUAGUAAAUAUAUUAAGUUUUCAGUUUUGUAAUCAAUGCUCCGAAGAGCAUUAUUCCUAUUUUAAGGUUUUUCUGUUUUAGUCUUUAUUGUUUUCUGUUAGAGACUAUCUC